AGAAACGCGAUGGAGAAAACGAUUUCUUCUCCUCCGCCGAUCUCCUGCCUCCGCUCUCUCCGUUUCUUCUCCGGUUUCAUCUCCGGUUUCAUCUCUUCGAUUCUAUUUCACCUCUCCGUUUCUUCUCCGGCUUCAUCUCCUCGAUUCUAUUUCACAUUUCCUCGGGCGAUUUUCGAUUCUCCUCACCUCCUCGAUUCUAACGAGCUUUGAUUUGUGCUUCUCUCCUCUCCUCCGCUCCUUCUGCUGUUAAGGCCAGUAAUAAGCCUUUGAAAGGUAAGAGGGAGCCUGAAGAUGAUGUUGAUACUAAAGUGAGUCUUAAGAAGCAGAAGGAAGACGUGAUUGCUGCUGUACAAAAGU
This is a long non-coding RNA of Arabidopsis lyrata subsp. lyrata, 357 nucleotides long. RefSeq lists it as uncharacterized. NCBI's taxonomy places the organism in Eukaryota, Viridiplantae, Streptophyta, Magnoliopsida, Brassicales, Brassicaceae. The record is from RefSeq and is a predicted model, not a curated record. The transcript is spliced from 2 exons.